RNAcentral lists this non-coding RNA (166 nucleotides) under Sandaracinus amylolyticus. The record is from RNAcentral. Lineage: Bacteria; Pseudomonadati; Myxococcota; Polyangiales; Sandaracinaceae.
AAGAGGGAAGCCGGUGAGAAGCCGGCGCGGCCCCCGCCACUGUGACCGGGGACGGCGCGGACGCGGUGCGAGCGCACCGAGUCACCACUGCGCGUGCUCGUCGUGUGAGCGGCGGGGCGCGGCGGGAAGGUGGUCCGCGACGGACGAUCCGGGAGCCAGGAGACCU